GUCGAACGGGAAACAUUUCAUUGAGGCUUCGGCGGAUUUGAUCUGUUUCUAGUGGCGGACGGGUGAGUAACGCGUGGGUAACCUGCCUUAUACUGGGGGAUAACAGCCAGAAAUGGCUGCUAAUACCGCAUAAGCGCACAGAACCGCAUGGUUCGGUGUGAAAAACUCCGGUGGUAUAAGAUGGACCCGCGUUGGAUUAGCUAGUUGGCAGGGCAGCGGCCUACCAAGGCGACGAUCCAUAGCCGGCCUGAGAGGGUGAACGGCCACAUUGGGACUGAGACACGGCCCAGACUCCUACGGGAGGCAGCAGUGGGGAAUAUUGCACAAUGGGGGAAACCCUGAUGCAGCGACGCCGCGUGAAGGAAGAAGUAUCUCGGUAUGUAAACUUCUAUCAGCAGGGAAGAUAAUGACGGUACCUGACUAAGAAGCCCCGGCUAACUACGUGCCAGCAGCCGCGGUAAUACGUAGGGGGCAAGCGUUAUCCGGAUUUACUGGGUGUAAAGGGAGCGUAGACGGCGCAGCAAGUCUGGUGUGAAAGGCAGGGGCUUAACCCCUGGACUGCAUUGGAAACUGCUGUGCUUGAGUGCCGGAGGGGUAAGCGGAAUUCCUAGUGUAGCGGUGAAAUGCGUAGAUAUUAGGAGGAACACCAGUGGCGAAGGCGGCUUACUGGACGGUAACUGACGUUGAGGCUCGAAAGCGUGGGGAGCAAACAGG
This 714-nucleotide ribosomal RNA is filed under the name uncultured Lachnospiraceae bacterium. RNAcentral describes it as "bacterial SSU rRNA". It matches the Rfam family "Bacterial small subunit ribosomal RNA", at positions 61 to 776 of the family's 1533-position model. Lineage: Bacteria; Bacillati; Bacillota; Clostridia; Lachnospirales; Lachnospiraceae. The record is from RNAcentral.